AUUGAACGCUGGCGGCAGGCCUAACACAUGCAAGUCGAGCGAGCGGCGGACGGGUGAGUAAUGUAUGGGGAUCUGCCUGCUGGAGGGGGAUAACUACUGGAAACGGUAGCUAAUACCGCAUACCAUCAGAUGAACCCAUAUGGUAUUAGCUUGUAGGUGAGGUAACGGCUCACCUAGGCGACGAUCCCUCGCUGGUCUGCGAGGAUGAUCAGCCACACUGGGACGGAGAGACGGCCCAGACUCCUACGGGAGGCAGCAGUGGGGAAUAUUGCACAAUGGGCGCAAGCCUGAUGCAGCCAUGCCGCGUGAAUGAAGAAGGCCUUCGGGUUGUAAAGUACUUUCAGUCGGGAGGCGUUACCGACAGAGGAAGCACCGGCUAACUCCGUGCCAGCAGCCGCGGUAAUAC
Molecule: ribosomal RNA, 406 nt
Filed under: uncultured bacterium
Lineage: Bacteria
Description: partial 16S ribosomal RNA
Rfam family: Bacterial small subunit ribosomal RNA
Source: RNAcentral